GACGAACGCUGGCGGCGUGCCUAACACAUGCAAGUCGAACGGAAAGGCCCUGCUCUUGUAGCGUGCUCGAGUGGCGCACGCGUGUGUAUCACGCGUGUAACCUCUCCUUGUCUUUGGGAUAACUCCAGGAAACUGGGGCUAAUAUCGGAUAUGAGCUCCUGCUGCAUGGUGGUGGUUGGUAAGUUUCGGCGUUUCGGGAUGGAGUCGCGGCCUAUCAGCUUGUUGGUGGGGUAGUGGCUUACCAAGGCUUUGACGGGUAGCCGGCCUGAGAGGGUGACCGGCCCCAUUGGGACUGAGAAAGGACCCAGACUCCUACGGGAGGCAGCGGUGGAAAUUAUUGCGCAAUGGGCGGAAGCCUGAUGGAGCAACGCCGCGUGCGGGAUGACGGCCUUCGGGUUGUAAACCGCUUUCGCCUGUGACGAAGAGUGAGUGACGGUAAUGAGUAAAGAAGCACCGGCUAACUACGUG
Molecule: ribosomal RNA, 468 nt
Filed under: uncultured bacterium
Lineage: Bacteria
Description: partial 16S ribosomal RNA
Rfam family: Bacterial small subunit ribosomal RNA
Source: RNAcentral